Molecule: ribosomal RNA, 492 nt
Filed under: uncultured bacterium
Lineage: Bacteria
Description: bacterial SSU rRNA
Rfam family: Bacterial small subunit ribosomal RNA
Source: RNAcentral
GAUGAACGCUAGCUACAGGCUUAACACAUGCAAGUCGAGGGGAAACGACAUCGAAAGCUUGCUUUUGAUGGGCGUCGACCGGCGCACGGGUGAGUAACGCGUAUCCAACCUGCCCAUCACUUGGGGAUAACCUUGCGAAAGUAAGACUAAUACCCAAUGACGUCUCUAGAAGACAUCUGAAGGAGAUUAAAGAUUUAUCGGUGAUGGAUGGGGAUGCGUCUGAUUAGCUUGUUGGCGGGGUAACGGCCCACCAAGGCGACGAUCAGUAGGGGUUCUGAGAGGAAGGUCCCCCACAUUGGAACUGAGACACGGUCCAAACUCCUACGGGAGGCAGCAGUGAGGAAUAUUGGUCAAUGGGCGAGAGCCUGAACCAGCCAAGUAGCGUGAAGGAUGAAGGUCCUACGGAUUGUAAACUUCUUUUAUACGGGAAUAAAGUUUCCUACGUGUAGGAUUUUGUAUGUACCGUAUGAAUAAGCAUCGGCUAACUCCGUG